This 674-nucleotide long non-coding RNA is filed under the name Equus caballus (horse). Its description in RNAcentral is "lncRNA (ENSECAG00000047573.1)". Lineage: Eukaryota; Metazoa; Chordata; Mammalia; Perissodactyla; Equidae. The record is from RNAcentral.
ACUACAUUAGAAGUGCAACUACACUGAAACCACCACUCUACGAGGAAGCCAAAACCCCAUGGACAAGUCACUUGCAGCUGUUACAGUAGACAGUCUUAGCUGAGCAGACUUUGAGCAUCCUAACCUGGACACUGACACACAGCAGGAAGAACAAAUGGGAAGAAGUGGCAAGUCUUCUCUCUUUAAGAACACAUCUGUGAAACUUUCAUCAAGAAGUGAUAUCUACUUCUCACUUUGAAUCUAGGCUGGCAUUGUGACUCGUUUUGGCCAAUAGAAUGCAGCUGAUAUAAUAUUAUGCAACUUCUGAGACGUGGUCUUGACAGGCCUGGUAACUUCCAUUUUUAUCCUCUUGGAAUCCUGUGACUGCCACCCUCUGAAGAAGCCCAGUUUACCCCUACUGGAGGAUAAGAGACCAUGUAGAGUACUGAGGCUACCCAGCUGACAGCUAGCCCAACUGCCAGACAUGUGAGCAAGGCCAUCUUGGAUUUUCCAACCAAGGCCAUCUUGAAUUUUCCAACCAAGGCCAUCUUGGAUUUUCCAGCCAUCCAGCUGAUGCAGCCCAAUGAAUAAGCCCAGCAUCCCAGGGUUCACAGGUUCAGAUCCCAGGUGUGGACCUACAUACCGCUUGUCAAACCAUGCUGUGGCAGCGUCCCAUGUACAAAGUAGAAGAUUGG